Molecule: ribosomal RNA, 930 nt
Filed under: Triticum aestivum (bread wheat)
Lineage: Eukaryota; Viridiplantae; Streptophyta; Magnoliopsida; Poales; Poaceae
Description: partial small subunit ribosomal RNA
Source: RNAcentral
AUGGCGGCGGUGAUGGAGUCGUCGUCGGUGCCCGGCGUGGACGGCGGCGAGGGUGCGGAGGGGAGGGUGCGGAAGCCCUACACCAUCACCAAGUCGCGGGAGAGCUGGACCGACCCGGAGCACGACAAGUUCAUCGAGGCGCUCCUCCUGUUCGAUCGCGAUUGGAGAAAGAUCGAAGCAUUUGUUGGCUCCAAGACAGUGAUACAGUUCUGUUGGCAGAUCAGGAGCCAUGCACAGAAGUACUUUCUGAAGGUUCAGAAGAAUGGGACAGGUGAGCAUCUGCCCCCACCUAGGCCGAAGAGGAAGGCGGCACACCCGUACCCACAUAAUAAAGCCUCAAAAAAGGCCCCUGAAGUCGACUUGCCACAGCAGCCUCCUCAUGUCGUGGAGCAAGGGCGUGUUAUACCUAUGGAUGCACCUACUGUCGCUACAAACUCAAGUGCAAACGAGGACACAUUUCCUUCCUGGGACGAUGUUCUUACCCAACCUUAUAGCCCAAGACAUACACAAGACUUAGGCGCUGCAAAUAAUAGCUCUAGUAGCAUAGAGUGCCAAUCUGGAACUUGGCCAGCUUCUGAUGCGAUUGGGCAAGAAAUUUGGCCAACUUCCGAUGCGAUUGAGCAAGAGAUUGUACUUCCAGCAUUGCAUGCCAUGCCAGACUUUGCUCAAGUAUACAACUUUCUUGGGGGCGUAUUUGAUCCAGAUACAACAGGACAUUUGCAGAAGUUGAGAGAGAUGGAUCCUAUAGAUGCUGAAACGGUACUACAACUGAUGAAAAAUCUAUCGGUAAACCUGUCUAGCCCGGACUUUGAGACACACAGGAGGAUGCUCUCGUCGCACGGUGGCGGCAUGGGCCAAGCCAGGCACGAGAGCGUAGGAGAUCCGGGGUCUCUACUCAGACCCUUCGCGUUCCAUUCAUGUAAUCUCUAG